CCCGCACAAGCAGCGGAGCGUGUGGUUUAAUUCGAUGUUACACGAAGAACCUUACCAGGGUUUGACAUGCAAGUGGUAGGAAGCCGAAAGGUGACCGACCCUUCGGGGAGCUUGCACAGGUGCUGCAUGGCUGUCGUCAGCUCGUGUCGUGAGAUGUUCGGUUAAGUCCGCUAACGAGCGCAACCCUCGCUGUGUGUUAUAUGUGUCACACGGGACUGCCGGUCUUAAGCCGGAGGAAGGUGGGGAUGAUGUCAAGUCAGCAUGGCCUUUAUAUCCUGGGCUACACACACGCUACAAUGGCCAACACAAUAGGUUGCUAAGCCGCGAGGUGGCGCCAAUCCAUAAAGUUGGUCUCAGUUCAGAUUGUAGGCUGCAACCCGCCUGCAUGAAGUUGGAAUCGCUAGUAAUCGCUGAUCAGCAGGCAGCGGUGAAUACGUUCCCGGGCCUU
RNAcentral lists this ribosomal RNA (448 nucleotides) under uncultured Leptolinea sp. Its description in RNAcentral is "bacterial SSU rRNA". It matches the Rfam family "Bacterial small subunit ribosomal RNA", at positions 920 to 1382 of the family's 1533-position model. The record is from RNAcentral. Lineage: Bacteria; Bacillati; Chloroflexota; Anaerolineae; Anaerolineales; Anaerolineaceae.